GUGUCAGCAGCCGCGGUAAAACGUAGGUGACAAGCGUUAUCCGGAUUUACUGGGCGUAAAGCGCGUUCAGGCGGUUUGGCAAGUCGGGCAUGAAAUCUCCUGGCUCAACCAGGAGGCGCUGUCCGAUACUUCCAGACUUGAGGGCAGUAGAGGGUGGUGGAAUUCCGGGUGUAGUGGUGAAAUGCGUAGAUAUCCGGAGGAACACCUGUGGCGAAAGCGGCCACCUGGACUGCUCCUGACGCUGAAACGCGAAAGCUAGGGUAGCGAACGGGAUUAGAAACCCCGGUAGUCC
RNAcentral lists this ribosomal RNA (292 nucleotides) under uncultured bacterium. RNAcentral's name for it is "partial 16S ribosomal RNA". It matches the Rfam family "Bacterial small subunit ribosomal RNA", at positions 505 to 796 of the family's 1533-position model. The record is from RNAcentral.